CCUACGGGAGGCAGCAGCAGGGAAUCUUGGGCAAUGGGCGAAAGCCUGAUCCAGCGACGCCGCGUGGAGGAAGAAGUCCUUCGGGAUGUAAACUUCUGAACUAGCCGAAUAAAAGGCCUGUGGACACACAGGAGAAGAAAGUAGCAG
This 147-nucleotide ribosomal RNA is filed under the name uncultured bacterium. RNAcentral describes it as "partial 16S ribosomal RNA". It matches the Rfam family "Bacterial small subunit ribosomal RNA", at positions 338 to 483 of the family's 1533-position model. The record is from RNAcentral.